AACGAACGCUGGCGGCAUGCCUAACACAUGCAAGUCGAACGAGACCUUCGGGUCUAGUGGCGCACGGGUGCGUAACGCGUGGGAACCUGCCCUUAGGUUCGGAAUAACUCCCCGAAAGGGGUGCUAAUACCGGAUAAUGUCUUCGGACCAAAGAUUUAUCGCCUUUGGAUGGGCCCGCGUUGGAUUAGCUAGUUGGUAGGGUAAAAGCCUACCAAGGCGACGAUCCAUAGCUGGUCUGAGAGGAUGAUCAGCCACACUGGGACUGAGACACGGCCCAGACGCCUAGGGGAGGCAGCAGAGGGGAAAAUUGGAAAAGGGGCGAAAUCCUGACCCAGCAAUGCCGGGUGAGGGAUGAAGGCCUUAGGGUUGAAAAGCUCUUUUACCCGGGAUGAAAAUGACAGUACCGGGAAAAAAAGCCCCGGCUAACUCCGU
Molecule: ribosomal RNA, 432 nt
Filed under: uncultured bacterium
Lineage: Bacteria
Description: partial 16S ribosomal RNA
Rfam family: Bacterial small subunit ribosomal RNA
Source: RNAcentral